UCUGUGGUGGUCCAGUGGUUAAGACUUCACACUUGCAAUGCAGGGGACCCAGGUUCGAUACCUGGUCAGGGAA
RNAcentral lists this transfer RNA (73 nucleotides) under Ovis aries (sheep). It matches the Rfam family "tRNA". From Rfam's summary of the family: Transfer RNA (tRNA) molecules are approximately 80 nucleotides in length. Their secondary structure includes four short double-helical elements and three loops (D, anti-codon, and T loops). Lineage: Eukaryota; Metazoa; Chordata; Mammalia; Artiodactyla; Bovidae. The record is from Rfam by way of RNAcentral.